AUCGUAAGUUCGUUGUUUGAGAAGAACGUUGUAGAGUGGAAAAUCUCCAAGUGACGGUAACUAACAGAAAAGGACGGCUANCUACGUGCCAGCAGCGCNGGUAAUACGUAGUCCCGNAGCGUUGUUCGGAUUUAUUGGGCGUAAAGCGAGCGCAGCGGUUCNUUAAGUCUGAGUUUAANGGCAGUGGCUUAACCAUUGUACGCUUUGGAAACUGGAGGACUUGAGUGCAGAAGGGNAGAGUGGAUUCCCAUGUGUAGCGGUGAAAUGCGUAGAUAUAUGGAGGAACACCGGUGGCGAAAGCGGCUCUCUGGUCUGUAACUGACGCUGAGGCUCGAAAGCGUGGGGAGCAAACAGGAUUAGAUACCCUGGUAGUCCACGCCGUAAACGAUGAGUGCUAGGCGUUAGGCCCUUCCAGGGGUUUA
This 422-nucleotide ribosomal RNA is filed under the name Streptococcus agalactiae. RNAcentral's name for it is "bacterial SSU rRNA". It matches the Rfam family "Bacterial small subunit ribosomal RNA", at positions 422 to 842 of the family's 1533-position model. The record is from RNAcentral. Lineage: Bacteria; Bacillati; Bacillota; Bacilli; Lactobacillales; Streptococcaceae.